GAUAAACGCCCUGAGGCGUUGGUUUUUAUGCUGGAGCCAAAGCCUACAGCAUUGGAACAAGCGGCACCCCUGGGGUUCCUGGGAGCCAGAGCCCCCAGAGGUGGGCCGGCAGCAGGAGAACAUCUUCCAGGAGCGGAUGUCUCCAGCCAAGUGAGCCUGAGGUUCUUUGACUCUGCACAUAUAGACAAAUCUCUGUUUCUGGCUCAUCAUGGCUUCCACUUCAAGGUAAGUGCCUUUGUGAAAGCCUUUAUGAAGGGCCACACCCAGGACAUUUUUAGCUCUUGGUCCUCUGGCCUCACUAAGCAUAUGGUGUCUAGGAAAGAAAAAGGAGGAAGAGAGAGCAGAAAAGGGAGAUUGAGGAAAGAUGAGGCAAGCAGGGUAGUGUAUGUGGUAUAG
Molecule: long non-coding RNA, 396 nt
Filed under: Canis lupus familiaris (dog)
Lineage: Eukaryota; Metazoa; Chordata; Mammalia; Carnivora; Canidae
Description: lncRNA (ENSCAFG00040006324.1)
Source: RNAcentral